Long non-coding RNA from Calypte anna (Anna's hummingbird), 1347 nucleotides. RefSeq lists it as uncharacterized. Lineage: Eukaryota; Metazoa; Chordata; Aves; Apodiformes; Trochilidae. The record is from RefSeq and is a predicted model, not a curated record. The transcript has 7 exons.
GGCAGGCAAGGGCCUCCUGCCCGGCACCUGGGCUGUGGGGUGGCUCUGCGCACCCUUCCCUCCGGCGCCUUCGCCGCGCCGGUGGCGGCUCCCAGCGGUAAAUCAGCCAGUUCCCCCUGCUCCCUCCGCCCCUCCGGCGCGGUCCUGACCUGCCUCUGACUCACCACAUCGCAGGAGCCCUGGUGCGCAGCGGGGGGAAGGAGGGAGGGGGCGCCUCCUUCCCUUCCUCUCUCUCCCCUCCCUACGUCCCUCCUUCCCCCCGCGUCUCUCUCGGCCAGGCUCCCCCAGCCGGGGGGCAGGACGGAUGGAUGUCGCGCACGGGAGCCACAAGGGGAACUGCUUCGGCCGCCCUUAGUGGCCCGUAUCAUGCACCCGGGCGUUGUCAGGCCGAGCGGGUACCGCUGGCGAGCAGGCGCAGCCCCCGCUGCGCGUUCGGCCUCUGGACACUACCAGAGGUGCUGGGAAACUGAGGUGCUGAGCAAUGCCAUGUAUGCCUGUGGAGUUGCUGUGAGACUGGAGAUCUCAACGUCAGGGCCUGCACCAGAGGACCCAUCUUUUUUGUGGUAAUGAGUUUCAGCAGCUACUGAUUUAAACCAGAUUCUAUUCUUGCUGCUCUCUCCAAAAGGAGGUGGUCCUCCACACUCUGUUGAAGUGCUUGGUGAGCUAGUAACACUGCUGUGUAAUAUGCAGAGAGAAGGCACGUUUAACAUCUCAAUAAGGACUCAAAGGACUCAGCUGUCUCCCACAUUAGUGUGCUGAAGAACAUCUCAAACAAUGUCUCUCUUAAUCCUCCCCAAAAAUUACUGCUGAGAAGUGCUACUAGCUUCAUUUUACUGAUAUGGGACUGAGGAACAGAGAAAACUAAUGUCUUGUCUAAGGGAUUUUUGUCUGCAAUAGCUUCUUGGGAAACAGGGAAGAAAUCAGAGUGAUUUGGAUCAUCUGCCUCGAGCAUCCUGGUCACCAGGAUGAAGGUCACCUUAGUCGCCUUGGUCAAGUCAGCUUGGGACACCCAGGUCCCUUCACCCUGUCCUCUCAGUCCUCUGAAAAAUAAAGCAUCAGUUCUACCAGACUCUCAGAAGUUGCACUGAAGAAGUUGCACUCAGAAGUUCCUGAAGUUACAGACAGACAGUCAGACAAGAAGAACCCAGUUUUUCUGCCUGUGUGCUACCAGGGAAGCUCUGAAGCAAAUGAAAGAGGUGGAAGUUUCAAAACCAAUUAAUUUAGGUCAAGUCUUAGUGGAAAUACUCCAGCUAAGUUUUGCUGUCUCCAGAGCUGUCCAAGAGAUUUUGAAGCAGAUCAUUUUUGUUUUGAGGGUGUUUUGUUUGAGUUUUAUUUGAGAAAGCAAAA